AAGCAGCUUGCUGUUUCGCUGACGAGUGGCGGACGGGUGAGUAAUGUCUGGGAAACUGCCUGAUGGAGGGGGAUAACUACUGGAAACGGUAGCUAAUACCGCAUAACGUCGCAAGACCAAAGAGGGGGACCUUAGGGCCUCUUGCCAUCGGAUGUGCCCAGAUGGGAUUAGCUAGUAGGUGGGGUAAAGGCUCACCUAGGCGACGAUCCCUAGCUGGUCUGAGAGGAUGACCAGCCACACUGGAACUGAGACACGGUCCAGACUCCUACGGGAGGCAGCAGUGGGGAAUAUUGCACAAUGGGCGCAAGCCUGAUGCAGCCAUGCCGCGUGUAUGAAGAAGGCCUUCGGGUUGUAAAGUACUUUCAGCGGGGAGGAAGGGAGUAAAGUUAAUACCUUUGCUCAUUGACGUUACCCGCAGAAGAAGCACCGGCUAACUCCGUGCCAGCAGCCGCGGUAAUACGGAGGGUGCAAGCGUUAAUCGGAAUUACUGGGCGUAAAGCGCACGCAGGCGGUUUGUUAAGUCAGAUGUGAAAUCCCCGGGCUCAACCUGGGAACUGCAUCUGAUACUGGCAAGCUUGAGUCUCGUAGAGGGGGGUAGAAUUCCAGGUGUAGCGGUGAAAUGCGUAGAGAUCUGGAGGAAUACCGGUGGCGAAGGCGGCCCCCUGGACGAAGACUGACGCUCAGGUGCGAAAGCGUGGGGAGCAAACAGGAUUAGAUACCCUGGUAGUCCACGCCGUAAACGAUGUCGACUUGGAGGUUGUGCCCUUGAGGCGUGGCUUCCGGAGCUAACGCGUUAAGUCGACCGCCUGGGGAGUACGGCCGCAAGGUUAAAACUCAAAUGAAUUGACGGGGGCCCGCACAAGCGGUGGAGCAUGUGGUUUAAUUCGAUGCAACGCGAAGAACCUUACCUGGUCUUGACAUCCACGGAAGUUUUCAGAGAUGAGAAUGUGCCUUCGGGAACCGUGAGACAGGUGCUGCAUGGCUGUCGUCAGCUCGUGUUGUGAAAUGUUGGGUUAAGUCCCGCAACGAGCGCAACCCUUAUCCUUUGUUGCCAGCGGUCCGGCCGGGAACUCAAAGGAGACUGCCAGUGAUAAACUGGAGGAAGGUGGGGAUGACGUCAAGUCAUCAUGGCCCUUACGACCAGGGCUACACACGUGCUACAAUGGCGCAUACAAAGAGAAGCGACCUCGCGAGAGCAAGCGGACCUCAUAAAGUGCGUCGUAGUCCGGAUUGGAGUCUGCAACUCGACUCCAUGAAGUCGGAAUCGCUAGUAAUCGUGGAUCAGAAUGCCACGGUGAAUACGUUCCCGGGCCUUGUACACACCGCCCGUCACACCAUGGGAGUGGGUUGCAAAAGAAGUAGGUAGCUUAACCUUCGGGAGGGCGCUUACCACUUUGUGAUUCAUGACUGGGGUGAAGUCGUAACAAGGUAACCGUAGGGGAACCUGCGGUUGGAUCACCUCCUUACCUUAAAGAAGC
RNAcentral lists this ribosomal RNA (1478 nucleotides) under Escherichia coli. Its description in RNAcentral is "bacterial SSU rRNA". It matches the Rfam family "Bacterial small subunit ribosomal RNA". Lineage: Bacteria; Pseudomonadati; Pseudomonadota; Gammaproteobacteria; Enterobacterales; Enterobacteriaceae. The record is from RNAcentral.